Small nucleolar RNA from Lepus europaeus (European hare), 114 nucleotides. RefSeq annotates it as small nucleolar RNA SNORD89. The transcript has a single exon. The record is from RefSeq and is a predicted model, not a curated record. Lineage: Eukaryota; Metazoa; Chordata; Mammalia; Lagomorpha; Leporidae.
ACUGAGGAAUGAUGACAAUAAAAGGCCGAAUUGCAGUGGCUCUGUCAACAGUUGGCUCUCUGUGGGCACACGAUGACAAAAUCUCCCGAAGCGAACCAGCAGUCUGACCUCAGU